This 1101-nucleotide ribosomal RNA is filed under the name Triticum aestivum (bread wheat). Its description in RNAcentral is "partial small subunit ribosomal RNA". Lineage: Eukaryota; Viridiplantae; Streptophyta; Magnoliopsida; Poales; Poaceae. The record is from RNAcentral.
AUGUAUCCGUCCCUGGUCAGCGGUGGCGGCCGCCGGGAAGCACGGCUGUGCGCGGUGACCGGUGGGCGGGGAUUCAUGGCGAGGCACCUGGUGGCCGCGCUGCUCCGCUCUGGAGAUUGGCGUGUGCGGAUCACAGACCUCGGCCCCGAGGCCGCCCUGUCACCCGCCGAGGAUGAUGGGCUUCUUGGCGCAGCCCUCCAAGACGGCCGCGCCGCCUACGUGUCGGUCGACGUCUGCGAAUUAGCCCAACUUACAAAAGCUUUGGAAGGGGUGCAUACUGUUUUCCACACUGCAUCCGCCGAUCAUACCAAGAACAACUUCCAACUUCAUUACAAGGUCAACGUCGAGGGGACAAAGAAUGUCAUCGAGGCUUGUAACACAUGCAAGGUUAAAAAGCUCAUAUACACUAGUUCUAGUGGGGUUGUAUUCGAUGGUGUUCAUGGCCUGUUUGCCGUAGACGAAUCAACGCCAUAUCCAGAUAAGUUUCCCGAUGCAUAUACAGAAACCAAGGCAGAGGCAGAAAAGCUUGUGAUAAAGGCCAACGGAAUAAAUGAGCUUCUCACUUGUUGUAUACGUCCUGGCAGCAUUUUUGGUCCCGGUGACACGAUAGUGCCAAUUUUAGUUUCUUACGGAGGAAUGAUGAUAAUUAUUGGUGAUGGCAAGAAUUGUGAUGAUUUUGUGUAUGUUGAGAACGUGGUGCAUGGUCAUCUAUGUGCAGAGAAAACUCUUUCUACCAAAGACGGUGCAAACAGAAGUGGAGGAAAAGCCUACUUUAUAACUAAUCUGGAGCCAGUGAAUUUGUGGGACUUUGUUUAUAUGGUUUUGGGAGAACUUGGAUACAAAAGCCGAUUCAGAUUAAGAAUUCCGUCAUAUCUUGUCAAGCCGAUAACAUGUCUGCUAGACUGGAGCUACAAUAAUAUAUUCUCUCUUUACGGAAUGCGUCAACCUGGCAUGCUAACAUCUGCAAGCAUUAAGUAUGCAACGCUGAAUAGAACAUUCAAUUGCAACAGUGCUGCUGAACAACUUGGUUACAAACCAAUAGUGCCACUCAAGGAGGGAGUAAAGAUGACUACUGAAUUCUACAAGUGGUCAAGAACGUGA